This 444-nucleotide ribosomal RNA is filed under the name uncultured bacterium. RNAcentral describes it as "bacterial SSU rRNA". It matches the Rfam family "Bacterial small subunit ribosomal RNA", at positions 331 to 792 of the family's 1533-position model. The record is from RNAcentral.
CCAGACUCCUACGGGAGGCAGCAGUGGGGAAUAUUGCACAAUGGGGGGAACCCUGAUGCAGCGACGCCGCGUGAGUGAAGAAGUAUUUCGGUAUGUAAAGCUCUAUCAGCAGGGAAGAAAAUGACGGUACCUGACUAAGAAGCCCCGGCUAACUACGUGCCAGCAGCCGCGGUAAUACGUAGGGGGCAAGCGUUAUCCGGAUUUACUGGGUGUAAAGGGAGCGUAGACGGCAGAGCAAGUCUGAAGUGAAAGCCCGCGGCCCAACUGCGGGACUGCUUUGGAAACUGCCCGGCUAGAGUGCUGGAGAGGUAAGCGGAAUUCCUAGUGUAGCGGUGAAAUGCGUAGAUAUUAGGAGGAACACCAGUGGCGAAGGCGGCUUACUGGACAGUAACUGACGUUGAGGCUCGAAAGCGUGGGGAGCAAACAGGAUUAGAUACCCCAGUA